UCCACAUCACUUCUUGCUAUGAACUACAGAG
Molecule: non-coding RNA, 31 nt
Filed under: Rattus norvegicus (Norway rat)
Lineage: Eukaryota; Metazoa; Chordata; Mammalia; Rodentia; Muridae
Source: RNAcentral